AUGGAUCCUUUACGGAGGGUGAUGUCACGGGGCGGUUGGGAUGUCCUACGACGACAUGAUGGUUCAGUCAUUUUCUCGGCGUAUCGCUAUUUAUUUAACUGCGGUGACGCUCUUGAGACAGAGAUUCAUGCAUUGAUGAUUGGUACAGCACUUACUCGUCAACAUACAGAGCUCCUAGUUAUGUUUCAGUAUGAUUCUUCCACUACUUUAUCUUGUCUUUCUAGUUCUAGUUUAGAUAGAUCGGUUUGUGGUCAUUUAGUAGCUGAAGUCAAGUCCCUUAUGAUGAUAAAGUGUUUAUUCCCCAGAACCUUCAUAGAUCUCAGAAUAACGUUACAGAUUGGCUGGCAAGGUAUAGUCGCUCUGAGCAAGCUACGACUGCGUGGCUCGGCAGAUGACCCCCGUGUAUCGAGGACCUCUUGCCCAAAGAUACUGACAAUGGGAUAA
This 444-nucleotide ribosomal RNA is filed under the name Triticum aestivum (bread wheat). RNAcentral's name for it is "partial small subunit ribosomal RNA". The record is from RNAcentral. Lineage: Eukaryota; Viridiplantae; Streptophyta; Magnoliopsida; Poales; Poaceae.